RNAcentral lists this long non-coding RNA (983 nucleotides) under Nicotiana tabacum (common tobacco). Its description in RNAcentral is "long non-coding RNA (NTAB_LNC003122)". The record is from RNAcentral. Lineage: Eukaryota; Viridiplantae; Streptophyta; Magnoliopsida; Solanales; Solanaceae.
AGAUUUUCUAAGUAUUUUUAUUUCUUAUGUUAAUACCAUGUCAAAGUGAUAAGUUGAAAAAUCAUAUUGUUUAUCAAAAACUUUUAGAGAAUUAUCUUUAACAAAACUACCAACUCAAUUCAUAGCAAAAAUUUUAAAAAUACAAUUCCAUGGAACCUAAUUGGUUUGGGCCUGAAAAUGUACCAAGUCUACUGUCCAGUUUGCUCGUAAAAACCCAAUUUUCAUGAUCCUGAAACAAACGAAUUGGAAUUACCAUGUAUAAUAAUUUUGAAUAAAAGAGUAAAGCUAUUAAUAUCAAACUAACUCAUUAUACAAGAAAGGUAUAGAAAGGACUAACUUAUUAACUAAAUAAUGAGAUUAAUUCCUUAACGAUGACCAAAUCUACGUAUUACUGUUCUAACAAGUUUCCAAAAAGAAAAUAUUGUUUUUUCCUUCUUCUAUUACAUGGAAAUGUAUAAAUCUUCUAGAUGAACACAUGAAGCUUAAAAAGAUUUUUUUACAAUUUUUAGAACAUUUUUAACAUAAUGCUAAUAUAACUUAAAUAGAAGAAACAGUGUAAAUGACUAGUUCUACAUGGGUUCACACAUAACUUCCAACUAAACAACUUUAAACCACAUGAUUCAUGCAGUAAUUUAAACCAUACACCAGACAAUAUUUAAACAAAACACAACUUUUGAUAUACAACAAAUUCAUAGUCAGGAUAACAACGAGAUUAAAUAUUUACAUUGUUUAGAAUAGUACCGUGAUAAUAGCAAGAAAACAAACGUAAAGAUAGAAAAUAUGUCUCUGAAAAUCUGAGCAAAAGCAGCAAUAAGAAUACCAAAUAGGAAACCAAAAUAGCUUCAAAUUUCAAACUUAGAAAUCCUAGCAAAAGUAUGAAACCAUUAGGAGUUCUUUGCUAAAAAUGAAGGAAAGAGACUCAAAAGCUGUGAAUAAUCAGUGUAUUUUUCUCUGUGUGUGUAUAUUCUAUGUCCAACUCCAGG